Molecule: unclassified non-coding RNA, 1300 nt
Filed under: Bombus terrestris (buff-tailed bumblebee)
Lineage: Eukaryota; Metazoa; Arthropoda; Insecta; Hymenoptera; Apidae
Description: misc RNA ENSBTSG00005022532.1
Source: RNAcentral
CGGCAACGAUCCAGGGAAUCACGGUCUCAAUAGUCAAGUUCGGGUGACUCCAGUGGGAAGACGUCGAAGGCAAGACGAGCGUAAGUGCACAGUGUUAACGUUUGAAGACGUGGAAGGCUCGUUAAAAAAAUUCAGCGGAGAUGACCUCCUGAAUGUAACUCAGUGGAUAAGAGAUUUCGAGGAAAUGGCGGAAGUGUGUGGCUGGUCGGACAUCCACAUGGUGGUUUUCGCGAGGAAGCUUCUCACAGGCUCUGCUCAAGCUUUCGUACGCCAGGAACGAUGCAUGAAGUCCUGGGCGAAAUCGAAGGUACAUCAAGUUUUUAAGUGGUUAAAUCCACGUAUGGCUAAUACAGUGGCUAGAAAAGGUAAUCGCGCGUAGCUUUAUUUUCCAGCGAAGCUCUUUUCCUAUCAGAUUCUACGUCCCAAUUUCGUGCUAUCGAAAUAAAAAUUCGAAGCUUUUCCUAUGUUCACAAGUAACAAAUAUAUUCUAAAUCCUGUAUCAGAGAGAAAAAGCUAGCGAUAAAGCUUUUCGUGACGCAAUUAAUCGAGUUUACGAAUGAGCGUCUGCCUGUUCACGCGUUCGCCAUCUUCGCCGACAAAACACGACCUAGAUACGGCGUAUCAAUUAAAAAACCAUAAAGCUGCGAAGAAAACUUUCGCAAUAAUUCAUCCAGACCGCACAAGCCAACUUUCCAACUAUGGAGCGCUACGUUUAGUAUUAAAAUGAUACGUUAGCGUACAUUGAUGGUAAUGAAAAUCCAAUCAACGAUGAACACGUUGAAAUUAAAAGAAAAACGAACGAUUUAUCUCCUCCAACGAUAUCAAGCAUGAAAAUCGCUUUAAUAUACUGUUAUGAAGACAAAUGGCUUGCAUAUUUCACGAUCGCGUUCUCCAACAGAAACCAACCGCGCAGAGGACAGAUAAAACUAAAAGAAAAGAGAAAAGGAGAAGAAAAGGGGGAAGAGAGAGAAGAAAAUUUAUCGAACGGUAAUGCUAAACCUUAAAAUAUCGACGAGUGACGAAACCUUUGGUCGAACAAGAAAGCUCUCGGAUAGUCUAGGAAAUCUUUUAAAACAAUGCUCGUAAAGGAGCACACGAGCACCGUGAAACGUUAUUUCCGCCGAAAGGGUUCGUGACUGGCUUUUAUUGACCCAUGGGAAUAUCUCGUCCUCGGAGCAUCGAAUCACGCUGCCGUGAAACGAAUCGGCGUUGUAGCUGAAUAAACUGUUGCAGUCUCUUUUACGUGCCAAACGAUAGCCGACUUUUUCUCUCGUUGUCGCAACGAGGCGGUACGUUUUUA